This 77-nucleotide transfer RNA is filed under the name Clostridia bacterium. Its description in RNAcentral is "tRNA-Arg". It matches the Rfam family "tRNA". From Rfam's summary of the family: Transfer RNA (tRNA) molecules are approximately 80 nucleotides in length. Their secondary structure includes four short double-helical elements and three loops (D, anti-codon, and T loops). Further hydrogen bonds mediate the characteristic L-shaped molecular structure. tRNAs have two regions of fundamental functional importance: the anti-codon, which is responsible for specific mRNA codon recognition, and the 3' end, to which the tRNAs corresponding amino acid is attached (by aminoacyl-tRNA synthetases). tRNAs cope with the degeneracy of the genetic code in two manners: having more than one tRNA (with a specific anti-codon) for a particular amino acid; and 'wobble' base-pairing, i.e. permitting non-standard base-pairing at the 3rd anti-codon position. The record is from RNAcentral. Lineage: Bacteria; Bacillati; Bacillota; Clostridia.
GCACCAUUAGCUCAGCAGGAUAGAGCGUUCGCCUCCUAAGCGAAAGGCCACUGGUUCGAAUCCAGUAUGGUGCGCCA